CCUUAGUAAUGGCGAAUGAACAGGGAAAAGCCCAGCACCGAAGCCUGUGGUCGUUUGGUCACUAGGCAAUGUGGUGUUCAGGUCGUUCCGCAGAGGUACUGCUCCAUCCUAAGUCCAGCAAUGAGUACGGCAUUAUGGACGUGGCCCAUAGAGGGUGAAAGGCCCGUGGGGGUGGAGAUUCGUCAGGCCAGUAUCUCUCUGGGUAGACCUUGGAGUCGGGUUGUUUGUGAAUGCAGCCCAAAGUGGGUGGUAAACUCCAUCCAAGGCUAAAUACUAGCACGAGUCCGAUAGCGAACAAGUACCGUGAGGGAAAGUUGAAAAGUACUUUGAAGAGAGAGUAAACAGUGCGUGAAACCGCUCAGAGGUAAACGGGUGGAGUUGAACUGCAAGCUUUGCGGAUUCAGCUGGUGAGAAUGGUUUGAGCUUGGUCAAAUUGAUUGAGCUACGGGGUCUGCGUAUGUGCAGGUCUCUGUCUUUGGCAGGGAUGCGCGAUACACCUAACAAGUGUUGUGCGCCUCGGAGUUUCAGAUCAACUCGCCAGUGCACUUCCGUAGAGUGUUCACCACGACCGGCAUGAUUGUCUGGCUGUUGUUGUUAAACCGGCUUUGCAUAGUCCUUGUGGCUUUGCCUGGUCGGGACGGCAGGUAGCUCGUUGGUAAUUCGUAGCUUGCUACGGUUGCUUUCGGGUGUAAUCAGCUGACUGCAACGGUUCUGUGCGAUUUGUCGGAGACGGCGGCUUGUGGUGUGUGCGUGCGUGCCGGCUUUAUGGGCGGAUCCGUUUCUGAUUGUCAUGUUGCCUGCGUAAAGCAGGCCUGGCAGUGUCUCGGGUUUGUUCUGUGAACGGUUGCGUACGUGUCACUUUUCAGGGCCAAUAGUCUGUGGUGUAGUGGUAGACGAUCCACCUGACCCGUCUUGAAACACGGACCAAGGAGAGUAACAUGUGCGCGAGUCAUUGGGCGUAACGAAACCCAUAGGCGCAGUGAAAGUAAAGGCUUGGCUUGUCCUUGCUGAGGUGAGAUCCUGUCGUUUCUCAUGCGCGGUACUACCAAGCAACGAGCGGCAGGCGCAUCACCGGCCCGUCCCAUGACGUAGACACAUAGUCCUCGUGACCAGUGCAUCGUCGGGGCGGAGCAUGAGCGUACAUGUUGAGACCCGAAAGAUGGUGAACUAUGCUUGCGCAGGUUGAAGCCAGAGGAAACUCUGGUGGAGGACCGCAGCGAU
RNAcentral lists this ribosomal RNA (1221 nucleotides) under Dicrogaster contracta. RNAcentral describes it as "eukaryotic LSU rRNA". It matches the Rfam family "Eukaryotic large subunit ribosomal RNA", at positions 78 to 884 of the family's 3401-position model. The record is from RNAcentral. Lineage: Eukaryota; Metazoa; Platyhelminthes; Trematoda; Plagiorchiida; Haploporidae.